CUUAAAAGAAUGAAUAAAUUUCAUAUUCACCAAACAGGACAAUAAGUUGUAGCAUAUUACAUCUCCGCACUUAACAAUGAAACUCAUUAAACUAUAAGUGGUCGUUUGGUUUGAGGUCAAAAUAGUCCCGGGAUUACAAUCCCGGGACUAAUUUAUACCAUCUGUUGGUAUUAUUUUAUACCAUCUUUCAGAUGGUAUAAAAUAAUACCAGUAUAAGUGGGUUAAGAAGGUAUAAGUUGAGUUAUUCCAGCACUAAUUUUUAUACCACGUUUGGUACAAGGUAUAAAAUAAUCCCGGGAUAAAUCUAUACCUUAUACCAAACGUGGUAUAAAAAUUAGUACCGGCAUAACCCAUGUUAUACCUUAAACCAAACGACCACUAAGGAAACUACCUUAAAGUUGUGAGCUUUAAUAAAUUUAUGAUUGCUUUGAUGGCAAAAUAAGGCUGAACUAGGUAAUGAGUAUUGAGACCAAUGCACAAGGUUAACUGAGGACCCAAAUUAUCAUCCAAAAGUAGAUCAGAAAUGGGAAAGGAGCUUUCACACAAAGACCAAUUGUUAUAAUAAACUAAAGUUAAAAAUAAAGGAAUACAAUUAAAAACAAAAGAAAAAAAAGGAAAGAACAUACAAACCAAUCAGCUUUCUUGGCUUCAAUCUUCUCUGUGACUUAGAGAUAACUUUGGACUUCAGCUCUGAAUCUUUCUCAUGGCCAAUAUCUGGACCAUAGGCUUGUGAUUGUUUUGCCGUGGCUUGAGAAGAGUCAACUGUUUGUUGUGAUUCUUGUGUCAUAGCUUCAGUUGCAGCAUCAAAGUUGAAGUACUCUUCCAACCGGUCAUCACUUUCAACAGUUGAAGAUGAUGCAUUCUUUGAGCCUUUUUGUGAUCGUCCAUCUUGCCUCUCAAAGCCAUUAUGGUAUAGAGUAGCUCUCAAGGCAACAAAUUAUGAUCCUACAAACACCCGGAAUCAAGUAUAAUUAUGAUUCUGCUGACAUCUAGAUUGGAAAGUCUUUUAAGAGAAAGGGAACUAAGAAAAUCCAGCAAGUUGAUCUGCAAAUGAAGGCAUAAGAGACGGCUACAGUGACUCAGAUGAUUUCCAAAACGGAAUUGAACAGUACUCCAUUUAUAUCAAUUUAUGGGACUCAUUUUUCAUUUAAUUUGUCCAAAAAAAAAGAAUAGCUAUUCCAAGAACCAAAAAAAAAAAAAAAAAAAAGAGCUGCUCUAUACCAUUAUUUGUUGUCUUGAGAGCUACUCUAUACCAUAAUGGCUUUGAGAGGCAAGAUGGACGAUCACAAAAAAGGUGGCUCAAAGAAUGCAUCAUCUUUGACUGUGUUGCAAGUGAUGACUGGUUGGAAGACUACUUCAACUUUAAUGCUGCAACUGAAGCUAUGACACAAGAAUCACAGUAAACAAUUGGCUCUUUCCAAGCCACAGCACAACAAUCACAAGCCUAUAGUCCAGAUAUUGGCCAUGAGGAAGAUUCAGAUCUGAGGCCCAAAAUUAUCUCCGUGUCAUAGACAAGAUUGAAGGCAAGAAAGCUGCAAGUGAGGCCGCCAACUGGUACAAGAAGAAUUCAGUUUACUGAGGGUGUAGAUGGAGUGUCAAUGCCUACAAACUUGCCUUAUUCACCAACUAAGACAACUUGGAGAGGCAAUAAGGCACUUACAGCCUACCAGCUUGAACUCAAGUAAGAAGAAAGAGGAUGAAGUGUGGAUCAAAAGGAAAAGGAGCUGAUGUACCUGAUUUUGAUACCUAACAAGAUGUUGCUAGUUUUUGUGAUGGAUGGUUGUACCAAACUGUUGGUAUUGGGGUGGUUAUUUUUGUGAAAAUGUUUAACGAUGGUUGAUGGACAACUUACUUUAACUUAGUUUAACUUAGUUUUUGUGGAUGAUGGUUGUGAAAAAUAAUUAAUUUUUGGUGAAUUCACUGUCACAUUUUUCAUGUCGACUAUUGACAUGUCAAUGUGAGUAUGAAUUUCAGGUGGAAGUGUUUUGGUAAGCAUCACCUUUUGUACAAAACUAUUGAUAUCUUCCAUAUGAAUGCUAUCUUUGUUUAGUAGGUGUAUAAAA
Lycium barbarum (goji berry) is the source of this 2063-nucleotide long non-coding RNA. RefSeq lists it as uncharacterized. The transcript is spliced from 2 exons. NCBI's taxonomy places the organism in Eukaryota, Viridiplantae, Streptophyta, Magnoliopsida, Solanales, Solanaceae. The record is from RefSeq and is a predicted model, not a curated record.